UGGGGGGUGGUGUAAUUGGCAGCACAGGUGGUUUUGGUCCAUCUAGAACGGGUUCGAGUCCUGUCCCCCCAGCCA
RNAcentral lists this transfer RNA (75 nucleotides) under Armatimonadota bacterium. RNAcentral's name for it is "Armatimonadetes bacterium tRNA-Gln". It matches the Rfam family "tRNA". Rfam says of the family: Transfer RNA (tRNA) molecules are approximately 80 nucleotides in length. Their secondary structure includes four short double-helical elements and three loops (D, anti-codon, and T loops). RNAcentral also lists the same sequence under 2 other names. Lineage: Bacteria; Bacillati; Armatimonadota. The record is from RNAcentral.